Molecule: long non-coding RNA, 2335 nt
Filed under: Ananas comosus (pineapple)
Lineage: Eukaryota; Viridiplantae; Streptophyta; Magnoliopsida; Poales; Bromeliaceae
Description: long non-coding RNA (ACOM_LNC034409)
Source: RNAcentral
UGCAAAUUGCGAGGUUCGAGUGAUUGGUUGUGUUUCGAGCUUUUCCACAUUUGGUGGAGGGUCGUAGGAUGUUUUCCGACCUAAAAAGUUCAAAAACCGGAGUUCUGGACGAGUCCUGAGAGUUUUUACUCUCGGGGACCGGUCCCUGAUGGGAGAGACCGGUCCCCUCAGAACAGUGUCGCGGCAGGGUUUGAGACAACUGGUCCCUGGCUGGGAGAGACCGGUUUCCGAGCGCGUAUUUUGCGUGGAGGGUCCGAGAGACCGGUCCCCGGCGGGGAGAGACCGGUUCCCGAACGUUGGAUUUUUGGGGCAGGCCGAGAGACCGGUCCCAUGUCGGGGAGACCGGUCCCUCAGUCCGAAAACUGUCCAGUCCGGGCUUUGCACAGGGUGCAAAGUUGAGGGACUUAGUUGGAUUUUGUUACACUAGAGGGCCUAUAUGGCCACUUCUCCUUCUCUUCUCCCUCAUUCCACCAUCCCACUUGCUCCUAGAGAGAGAAGAAGAAGAGGGAGAGGAAGAAGAAGAAGAAGAAGAAGAAGAAGAGAGCUUAUUGGAGGCUUGGANGUUUAGACUUCAGUACAGCUUUCCACCCCCAGAGUGACGGGCAGUCGGAGCAUACCAUACAGACUCUCGAGGACAUACUUCGAGCCUGUGUGAUUGACUUCCAGGGAGGAUGGUCGCAGCAUCUACCGAUGACAGAGUUUACUUAUAAUAAUAGUUAUCAAGCAAGCAUCAAGAUGGCACCUUUCGAGGCACUCUAUGGACGGAAGUGUAGAUCGCCACUUCAUUGGAGUGAAGGUGGUGAGAGAUUGGCUUUAAACCCAGAUGUGCUCCAGGAAGCGGAGGACAAGGUUCGCAUUGCUCGGGAGCGACUAUUGACAGCCCAAAGUAGGCAAAAGAGUUAUGUUGACAGGCGUCGACGAGACUUGGAGUUCCAGAUUGGUGAUCAUGUCUUCUUGAAAGUCUCGCCAACCAGAGGGAUUAGAAGAUUUGGAAUCCGGGGUAAGCUGAGCCCCCGAUAUAUUGGACCGUAUGAGGUUUUGGAGCGUGUAGGUCCGGUAGUGUAUCGACUUGCGCUACCUCCGAACCUAUCGGGUGUACACAAUGUAUUUCAUGUAUCGGUCAUUCGGAAGUACAUCCACGAUCCAGCUCAUGUGCUUGACGCUACACCCUUGGAGCUGAGAGAGGAUUUGAGUUUAAAGAGCAACCCGUGAGGAUCUUGGCUCGCGAGAUGAAGAAACUACGGAAUCGGGACAUUCCGUAUGUGAAGGUUCUUUGGAGCAACCACGGAGAGCGGGAGGCCAUGUGAGAGCUAGAGAGUGCGCUGCAGGAGCGCUAUCCCCAUCUUUUUCAGAUGGAGUCUUGAGGUAUGUAGUUGCUUUGAGUUUCGCGGAUGAAACUCCUUUUUAGGAGGGGUGAAUGUAGCACACUGGACCGAUGCAAAUUGCGAAGUUCGAGUGAUUGGUUGUAUUUCGAGCUUUUCCACAUUUAGUGGAGGGUCGUAAGAUGUUUUCCGACCUAAAAAGUUCAAAAAUCGGAGUUCUAGACGAGUCCUGAGAGUUUUUACUCUCGGGGACCGGUCCCUGAUGGGAGAGACCGGUCCCCUCAGAACAGUGCCGCCCCGGGUUUGAGACAACCGGUCCCUGGCUGGGAGAGACCGGUUCCCGAGUGCGUAUUUUGCGUGGAGGGUCCAAGAGACCGGUGCCCGGCGGGGAGAGACCGGUUCCCGAACGUUGGAUUUUCGGGGCAGGCCGAGAGACCGGUCCCAGGUCGGGGAGAUCGGUCCCUCAGUCCGAAAACUGCCCAGUCCGGGCUUUGCACAGGGUGCAAAGUUGAGGGACUUAGUUGGAUUUUGUUACACUAGAGGGCCUAUAUAGCCACUUCUCCUUCUCUUCUCCCUCAUUCCACCAUCCCAUUUGCUCCUAGAGAGAGAAGAAGAAGAAGGAGAGGAAGAAGAAGAAAAAGAAGAGAGCUUGUUGGAGGCUUGGAUCUUCACCCACACCCUCUCUUCUUCCUUUUGGUGGCUUGGACCUUGGAUUUGGAGCUUGAGAGGAGGGAGAUCUCCACACUUGGAGGACUUUGGAUCUUGUUUGAGGCUUCUAAAAGAUUAGUAGCUCAUUUUCUCCCCCUAGAUUGGAGUUUUGUUGCUUUGUGGUAGAUGAAACCCUGAGAUGGGAUUUUAGGGUUGAUUUUGGGGCUUUUUGAUCUAGGGCUUUGGAGGCUCAAUUUCUUGGUUUAGGAUCUUUCUUUGGGUUAGAUUGGAAGGAUUCUAGCCCUCUUUUGGAGCUUGAGAGAGAUUUUCUACUCCCUAGGUGAGUUUUCGCCCUUUUGCUUGUG